Long non-coding RNA from Bactrocera dorsalis (oriental fruit fly), 376 nucleotides. RefSeq lists it as uncharacterized. The record is from RefSeq and is a predicted model, not a curated record. The transcript has 3 exons. Lineage: Eukaryota; Metazoa; Arthropoda; Insecta; Diptera; Tephritidae.
GUGAGUCAAAGCCAACAACACAUUAAGAGUAACACUCUACAAAUCGGCGCGCAACAGUAAAAACAUCCUUUGUAUUACAAAAAUGUCGAAGUCCUUUCUACUCUUUCUACUGCUAACGGUGCUUAGCAGUGGUUUGGUGCUCGCAAGACCGCAGGCAGGCCCAACUACCGCAUCACCUUCAACCGGUUCAACGCUGAAUGGCGGCGCUAACGCCCAGAACAUACGCGGAGCUCCAUGCCGUGGUCCGCCAGCUGUUGGGCAGUACAAAUUCAACUAAUUCAAGAUGACGAACAAGGAAACGUAAUUGGACGGGAUUUGAGAAACAGCUGCUGGAAAUAUUGCUUAAAAACUGUAAACUAUAGAUAGCGAUCUCAAA